Molecule: ribosomal RNA, 292 nt
Filed under: uncultured bacterium
Lineage: Bacteria
Description: partial 16S ribosomal RNA
Rfam family: Bacterial small subunit ribosomal RNA
Source: RNAcentral
GUGCCAGCAGCCGCGGUAAUACGUAGGGAGCAAGCGUUGUCCGGAUUCACUGGGUGUAAAGGGUGCGUAGGCGGGAGAAUAAGUCAGCGGUGAAAUCUUACGGCUCAACCGUGAAACUGCCGUUGAUACUGUUUUUCUUGAGUUCGGGAGAGGUUGAUGGAAUUCCAGGUGUAGCGGUGAAAUGCGUAGAUAUCUGGAAGAACACCAGUGGCGAAGGCGGUCAACUGGCCCGAAACUGACGCUGAGGCACGAAAGCGUGGGUAGCGAACAGGAUUAGAUACCCUGGUAGUCC